This 87-nucleotide non-coding RNA is filed under the name pig gut metagenome. RNAcentral describes it as "THF riboswitch". It matches the Rfam family "THF (Tetrahydrofolate) riboswitch aptamer". Rfam says of the family: THF riboswitch presents a pseudoknot that joins P1-P2 and the loop of P3 and two THF binding. The record is from RNAcentral.
GCAGAGUAGGUCCUUGGCGUUAAGUGACUAAGAAUGGGACGUAGUCUUAGUACGAAAUUUAUUGCGAUCAAGUACCGCGUUCACUGU